RNAcentral lists this ribosomal RNA (461 nucleotides) under Shigella sonnei. RNAcentral's name for it is "partial 23S ribosomal RNA". It matches the Rfam family "Bacterial large subunit ribosomal RNA", at positions 474 to 936 of the family's 2925-position model. The record is from RNAcentral. Lineage: Bacteria; Pseudomonadati; Pseudomonadota; Gammaproteobacteria; Enterobacterales; Enterobacteriaceae.
UCCUGACUGACCGAUAGUGAACCAGUACCGUGAGGGAAAGGCGAAAAGAACCCCGGCGAGGGGAGUGAAAAAGAACCUGAAACCGUGUACGUACAAGCAGUGGGAGCACGCUUAGGCGUGUGACUGCGUACCUUUUGUAUAAUGGGUCAGCGACUUAUAUUCUGUAGCAAGGUUAACCGAAUAGGGGAGCCGAAGGGAAACCGAGUCUUAACUGGGCGUUAAGUUGCAGGGUAUAGACCCGAAACCCGGUGAUCUAGCCAUGGGCAGGUUGAAGGUUGGGUAACACUAACUGGAGGACCGAACCGACUAAUGUUGAAAAAUUAGCGGAUGACUUGUGGCUGGGGGUGAAAGGCCAAUCAAACCGGGAGAUAGCUGGUUCUCCCCGAAAGCUAUUUAGGUAGCGCCUCGUGAAUUCAUCUCCGGGGGUAGAGCACUGUUUCGGCAAGGGGGUCAUCCCGACU